This 18-nucleotide ribosomal RNA is filed under the name Beta vulgaris subsp. maritima. The record is from RNAcentral. Lineage: Eukaryota; Viridiplantae; Streptophyta; Magnoliopsida; Caryophyllales; Amaranthaceae.
GCGAUCAUACCAGCACUA